Long non-coding RNA from Anopheles stephensi (Asian malaria mosquito), 775 nucleotides. RefSeq lists it as uncharacterized. The record is from RefSeq and is a predicted model, not a curated record. NCBI's taxonomy places the organism in Eukaryota, Metazoa, Arthropoda, Insecta, Diptera, Culicidae. The transcript has 3 exons.
GUUGGUUCCUAUAAAUUUUACUAAACACUCGUAUUAUAUUGAAGUACAGUACCACAGGAGACUUCGGACCAGCUUUAAACAUAACGGCCAAAACCAGACAUCCAAUACAAAAAAUGGAGAACACCAACAAAACUACAGCACCAUAUCGGCUCGUAACUUCCGUAGCCAUCAUCGUUAGCACUAUGCCCAUAAUCACCCGCGUCCGAGAGGUUAGUGUUGACCGGGAAAAAGGGGGAGAGUACAACCACACGGCCGAAAAAAAACAUCAACGCGCAUAAAUAUCAAUCCUCACCGUGCGUGGCACUAAAAGCAACCGACCGACACACACACACACACAGACCGGUAAAAGCACUUACCACACACCCGCGAAAGGAUACCUCUUGCUCUGAGUGUGAGUUGUGAAAAUGCAAGUGUGUACAGGCGGUGAGAUGGAAGCCCUUAACGCUGAUGGAAGCGACGAUUUUACUGCAGUUGGAAUUUACUACAACAGUCCCAUCCCAUCCGAUUCGCAGCACGGUAAGCAACACGGUUCGCGUAAAGCUUUUCCGCCUCACGACUAAACAGGGAUGGCCGGAGGAAAAAUGCUAAGCAGAAGACAAACACCCUUUACGCUUUCUACCAGUUUUGAGGUCAAAGACCAAUAAACAGUUUAACCCGUUUGCCGUUGGACAAACGGAUGGAAACCAUUUUGUGUAUUAGUUCCUCACACUGGCCCUCUGGUCUGCCCACAGCAGACCGCCGAAUAGCUUUUAUCCUUUCCGAGAUGAUGUUUCAC